UUCGACCUGAACUCAGACGUGAACACCC
RNAcentral lists this ribosomal RNA (28 nucleotides) under Heterodera schachtii. RNAcentral's name for it is "partial 28S ribosomal RNA". The record is from RNAcentral. RNAcentral also lists the same sequence under 1 other name. Lineage: Eukaryota; Metazoa; Nematoda; Chromadorea; Rhabditida; Heteroderidae.